CGCUAUCACUCCUACGGGGAGGCAGCAGUAGGGAAUCUUCCACAAUGGGCGCAGGCCUGAUGGAGCAACACCGCGUGAGUGAAGAAGGGUUUCGGCUCGUAAAGCUCUGUUGUUAAAGAAGAACACGUAUGAGAGUAACUGUUCAUACGUUGACGGUAUUUAACCAGAAAGUCACGGCUAACUACGUGCCAGCAGCCGCGGUAAUACGUAGGUGGCAAGCGUUAUCCGGAUUUAUUGGGCGUAAAGAGAGUGCAGGCGGUUUUCUAAGUCUGAUGUGAAAGCCUUCGGCUUAACCGGAGAAGUGCAUCGGAAACUGGAUAACUUGAGUGCAGAAGAGGGUAGUGGAACUCCAUGUGUAGCGGUGGAAUGCGUAGAUAUAUGGAAGAACACCAGUGGCGAAGGCGGCUACCUGGUCUGCAACUGACGCUGAGACUCGAAAGCAUGGGUAGCGAACAGGAUUAGAUACCCUGGUAG
Molecule: ribosomal RNA, 474 nt
Filed under: uncultured bacterium
Lineage: Bacteria
Description: bacterial SSU rRNA
Rfam family: Bacterial small subunit ribosomal RNA
Source: RNAcentral